This 254-nucleotide ribosomal RNA is filed under the name uncultured bacterium. RNAcentral's name for it is "partial 16S ribosomal RNA". It matches the Rfam family "Bacterial small subunit ribosomal RNA", at positions 524 to 776 of the family's 1533-position model. The record is from RNAcentral.
UACGUAGGGGUCGAGCGUUGUCCGGAUUUAUUGGGCGUAAAGAGCUCGUAGGCGGUUCGAUAAGUCGGACGUGAAAUCUCCACGCUCAACGUGGAGGGGCCGUUCGAUACUGUCGUGACUCGAGUCCGGUAGGGGAGUGUGGAAUUCCCGGUGUAGCGGUGAAAUGCGCAGAGAUCGGGAGGAACACCCGUAGCGAAGGCGGCACUCUGGGCCGGUACUGACGCUGAGGAGCGAAAGCGUGGGGAGCAAACGGG